This 675-nucleotide ribosomal RNA is filed under the name Pantoea sp. AIR-NUS-21. RNAcentral's name for it is "bacterial SSU rRNA". It matches the Rfam family "Bacterial small subunit ribosomal RNA", at positions 39 to 703 of the family's 1533-position model. Lineage: Bacteria; Pseudomonadati; Pseudomonadota; Gammaproteobacteria; Enterobacterales; Erwiniaceae. The record is from RNAcentral.
GCGUCAGGCCUAACACAUGCAAGUACAACGGUAGCACAGAGGAGCUUGCUCCUCGGGUGACGAGUGGCGGACGGAUGAGUAAUGUCUGGGAAACUGCCCGAUGGAGGGGGAUAACUACUGGAAACGGUAGCUAAUACCGCAUAAUGUUGCAAGACCAAAGAGGGGGACCUUCGGGCCUCUUGCCAUCGGAUGUGCCCAGAUGGGAUUAGCUGGUAGGUGAGGUAAUGGCUCACCUAGGCGACGAUCCCUAGCUGGUCUGAGAGGAUGACCAGCCACACUGGAACUGAGACACGGUCCAGACUCCUACGGGAGGCAGCAGUGGGGAAUAUUGCACAAUGGGCGCAAGCCUGAUGCAGCCAUGCCGCGUGUGUGAAGAAGGCCUUCGGGUUGUAAAGCACUUUCAGCGGGGAGGAAGGCAGUACGGUUAAUAACCGUGUUGAUUGACGUUACCCGCAGAAGAAGCACCGGCUAACUCCGUGCCAGCAGCCGCGGUAAUACGGAGGGUGCAAGCGUUAUUCGGAAUUACUGGGCGUAAAGCGCUCGCAGGCGGUCUGUCAAGUCGGAUGUGAAAUCCCCGGGCUCAACCUGGGAUCUGCAUUGGAAACUGGCAGGCUUGAGUGUUGUAGAGGGGGGUGGAAUUCCAGGUGUAGCGGUGAAAUGCGUAGAGAUCAGGAG